Molecule: ribosomal RNA, 420 nt
Filed under: uncultured eukaryote
Lineage: Eukaryota
Description: SSU rRNA
Rfam family: Eukaryotic small subunit ribosomal RNA
Source: RNAcentral
CAAUAGCGUAUAUUAAAGUUGUUGCAGUUAAAAGCUCGUAGUUGGAUCUCGGGAGCGAGCGGGCGGUCGGGCGUUCAGCCGUGCACUUCCCGCUCAUCCUACUGUCCGGUACGUGCCCUGUGCUCUUAACCGAGUGUAGGGAGCGUCUGGAGCGUUUACUUUGAAAAAAUUAGAGUGCUCAAAGCAGACGAUUCGUCUGAAUAGCCGUGCAUGGAAUAAUGGAAUAGGACCUCGGUUCUAUUUUGUUGGUUUUCGGAAGUCGAGGUAAUGAUUAAGAGGGACAGACGGGGGGCAUUCGUACUGGGCCGCCAGAGGUGAAAUUCUUGGAUUUGUUAAAGACGGACUACUGCGAAAGCAUUUGCCAAGGAUGUUUUCAUUGAUCAAGAACGAAAGUUAGGGGAUCGAAGAUGAUCAGAUACC